CUUGAAUCCACGCAGACCCUAUGCCCUUAACCAUUAAGUCACCAAGAUAAAGCUUUGUAGAGGGGAGCCCAGCUCCACUGGUGAUCCUGAUCGGGCCUGCAGAGCCGGCAGCCUAUUCAGGCCUGCAUCUCCGCCACUGGCACAGGCCCUGGUACCUUCCAAGCCUGCUCCGUAGGUAGGCUUACUGGGAUACACAUGGCUUAUUAUUAAUUUAAUAGGGCUGACUCACUGACCAAAACUUAAAGCCAGGGGCACCUGGGUGCUCAGAUCUUGAGUGCAGGGUGCUGGGUCCUGGGGUCCGGCCUGCCUGCCCGCCCCCCUCGCCCCCUGGAUGGGCAGCCUGCUUCUCCCUCUCCAACGACUGCGCUCCCCGGCUCGCCCUCUCUCAAAUAAAUAAAAUCUUAAAAACAACCGAAAGCCAAUGUGACGUAUUCUUUGCCUGGGGAAAUCAUCAUGGACCCGGCAGCCAUGGGAGUCUGGGGGUCGAGUCCAGUCCUAGAAACCAGAGACCCUCUCUCAGGAGCACCGGAAGUGAGGGGGGCGCGGGCCCGGGAGCCGGGGGACAACAGGAAGUGCAGCACCGGCCCAGGCACAGGUAGGGCCCGCAGACAGGCCGGCCCGCUGCGGUGGGGAGGACUGGCUUCCGGGGAGGGACAGCUUGUGGGGCGGACCGGGCCCGGGAGGAAGCGACGCUCAAGACUGCGGGGACGCUUGGGAGCGGCGGCAAGUACGCUCCGGACCUCUUGUCGGAAUUGGACCAGCCCCGAAUCACCCCCUCGUCUCCGAGGUUCACGGACCAGGAAGGCCACGUCCGCUGCGAGAGAACUUGACCGAGGAAGCUGGAAGGGAAGGAACGAAGGAUAAGAAGACACCCAGGAGUGGGCCAGCGGGCUUUGCAGCCUGUGUGACAGACGCCUGCGCGACGGAAAGCCUGCAGCAACAGCCAGUGGAGUAUUAGCGAUGGUUUUAGGAAGAAAGACCCUCCGGAGAGUCUCGUUAGAGAAGAGGAGUUGGGAGAAAACCAAGCCGAAAUGAAAAUGAAUUCAAGGGGAACCCCGGGUGGCCCAGCGGUUUAGCGCCGCCUGCAGCCCGGGGUGAGAUCCUGGAGUCCCUGGAUCAAGUCCCAGGAGUCCCACGUAGGGCUCCCUGCAGGGAGCCUGCUUCUCCCUCUGCCUGUGUCUCUUCCUCUCUCUCUCUCUCUCUGUGUGUCUCAUGAAAAAAUAAAUAAAAUCUUUAAAAAUAAAAGAAUGCUCUG
This 1255-nucleotide long non-coding RNA is filed under the name Vulpes vulpes (red fox). RNAcentral describes it as "lncRNA (ENSVVUG00000001653.1)". The record is from RNAcentral. Lineage: Eukaryota; Metazoa; Chordata; Mammalia; Carnivora; Canidae.